GAGUUGAUCAUGGCUCAGGAUGAACGCUAGCGACAGGCUAACACAUGCAAGUCGAGGGGCAUCACGGGAGUAGCAAUACAACUGGUGGCGACCGGCGCACGGGUGAGUAACGCGUAUGCAACCUACCGUAUCAGAGGGGAAUAACCCGGCGAAAGUCGGACUAAUACCGCAUAAAACAGGGGCACCGCAUGGUGAUAUUUGUUAAAGAAAUUCGCUGAUAGAUGGGCAUGCGUUCCAUUAGGUAGUUGGUGAGGUAACGGCUCACCAAGCCGACGAUGGAUAGGGGAACUGAGAGGUUGGUCCCCCACACUGGUACUGAGACACGGACCAGACUCCUACGGGAGGCAGCAGUGAGGAAUAUUGGUCAAUGGGCGGGAGCCUGAACCAGCCAAGUCGCGUGAAAGGAAGAAGGAUCUAUGGUUCGUAAACUUCUUUUGCAGGGGAAUAAAGUGCAGGACGUGUCCUGUUUUGUAUGUACCCUGAGAAUAAGGAUCGGCUAACUCCGUGCCAGCAGCGGC
This 518-nucleotide ribosomal RNA is filed under the name uncultured bacterium. RNAcentral describes it as "bacterial SSU rRNA". It matches the Rfam family "Bacterial small subunit ribosomal RNA", at positions 9 to 518 of the family's 1533-position model. The record is from RNAcentral.